Molecule: long non-coding RNA, 1047 nt
Filed under: Sinocyclocheilus grahami
Lineage: Eukaryota; Metazoa; Chordata; Actinopteri; Cypriniformes; Cyprinidae
Description: lncRNA (ENSSGRG00000040115.1)
Source: RNAcentral
UUGAGAAACAUCCAGUAUGUCUGUAUUUUUUGUCUUUGUCACUGUUAGGUUGGAGAAAAGAAAUUUCAGGUGAGAUCGUCCACAUCAGGGCACACCUAUACAGUGGACAUGGAGUUGGAGCUCUGCACUUGUCCAGUUGGGCACCAUGCAAACACCAGGCAGCGGUAGUACAAAAUUUCAACAUCACCUCCAUCAACUUGCUCCCCACAACAGCUGAAAUGAGGGCUGAGCUGCUGAAAAUAACAAAAACCUCAGUUUCUCUUGACUUUCUAAACCCUUUACGGCAAAAUAUGCCAACGCCAAGCACAUUAGCUCCAGACAUGCCUCUCAGGCAAGAAACCUGCACUACUGAUCAUCAGUAUCAUCUCAGUGCUCAAGAUGAUGAGUCACAUCAGCUGGACCUGUCUUCCACCAUCUCUGCACAAUUGCACCAAACAUCACCUAUGCAAGAGGACUCAUACUCCAACCAACCCUGUGUACAGGUUAACUCAGAGGGAGGUGAGUCCAUGAAGCUUAGAGUUACAUAAAAAAUUCUGUCUAGAUGUUUAUUUGGGCCCAAGCACCCUUUUCCAAGUUUUUUUUUGUUUUUAUUGUUGUCUCUUUAAACAGCACCUUUACCUCAGUCUCCUGUGAGACGGAUGCUGGGACUGCUCAGUGAAAUGGCUGAAAACUCGGACUACAGUGAUGCCAUGACUACAAUGGCCAAGCAGCUUGAAAAGAUGCAGCACAACCCGACCCACAUGAUCUCUGCUUUGGUAAAGGGAUGUCUGUGUCAAAACCUGCAGCAGCGUUAAGACGACCUGCUAGACGACCAGGUCCUAUUAUUGGCUGUCAGCCAACAGCAGUGGCCCGAAGAACAGCUAAGACUGGUUCUAGGCGGCGUUUGACAGCUGGACGCCCCAGAAAAUGUAGUUCUGGUUCAGAGCAUGACUACAGCAGAUAUACAGGGAAAAGGGCUGUCAGGGUUCGCCACAAAUUGUCAGAAUCUGUGGCAAUGAAUUGCUCACAUCAAGCUUAAAAAUGUACAAAUAUUUGUAUGACGUGGGU